UCCCUGGUGGUCCAGUGGCUAAGACGCCAGGCUCCCAGGGCAGGGGGCCCAGGUUCAAUCCCUGGUCUGGGAA
RNAcentral lists this transfer RNA (73 nucleotides) under Bos taurus (domestic cattle). It matches the Rfam family "tRNA". Rfam says of the family: Transfer RNA (tRNA) molecules are approximately 80 nucleotides in length. The record is from Rfam by way of RNAcentral. RNAcentral also lists the same sequence under 1 other name. Lineage: Eukaryota; Metazoa; Chordata; Mammalia; Artiodactyla; Bovidae.